This 276-nucleotide ribosomal RNA is filed under the name uncultured bacterium. RNAcentral describes it as "partial 16S ribosomal RNA". It matches the Rfam family "Bacterial small subunit ribosomal RNA", at positions 335 to 608 of the family's 1533-position model. The record is from RNAcentral.
GACCCUACGGGACGCAGCAGUGAGGAAUAUUGGUCAAUGGGCGGUAGCCUGAACCAGCCAAGUAGCGUGAAGGAUGAAGGUUCUAUGGAUUGUAAACUUCUUUUAUAAAGGAAUAAAAUGAGUCACGUGUGCCUUUUUGUAUGUACUUUAUGAAUAAGGAUCGGCUAACUCCGUGCCAGCAGCCGCGGUAAUACGGAGGGUCCGAGCGUUAUCCGGAUUUAUUGGGGUUAAAGGGAGCGUAGAUGGGUUGUUAAGUCAGUUGUGACAGUUUGCGGC